GUGAUGUCUAGGAUAGUGCAUUUUUAAUUGUUGUGCUUGGAGGAAACAGGACAAAUUCUCUGAACCUCAUCUGACAACUAUAAUACAUUUAAACAUCAGAGGUCGACUAUAAUCUCUUCUGUACAUAUGAACAAUACUGACUAUAAAAUAACACUUGUUCAUCCUAUAUGUUCAAUAUAGAAGACAAACGAAAAGAUAAUGCGCGCCAUUUCCGAUUUCAUAGUAGGGUUUCACAAAGUCAAAGUUGAAGCCAGACACUGAGCACGCAUGAGAGUAAUUGAAAAUACUAAUUAUGGCUUAACGGACAAAAACGAAAUAUCCUGUGUUCGCAAUGGUGGUGCUUAUUGCCACAUUCAGUUCGUGAAAAAAUAUGAACCAAAAUUUAAUAUUACAAACGAUAUAUACAGUUCUCAUUUUCCCUUCAAAAUUCCUCUAAUGUACAAGCGCAAUAUCACACAUACACACACACACACACACACACACACACACACACAUUCUAAUCUAUACAACAUUUAAGUUCCCAGUUCUUAUUUACACAUAUUUGGUAAAACCCUGAUUUCGACAGUUUUUAAAACUCACCUUUCACUUAUACGAUUGAUUGAAAAUACUAAAGAGCAAAAAGACUACCAGCUCGCUCUUUGAUCCAAAACAUUUGACCUAAAAGGCUAAUUUUAAAGUGUUCAAGGAGUGUUCUUUCUCCUGUUAGUUCAUCGUACUUGUUUUUCCUCAAAGUUCUUUACUUAAACAGUUGAAUAUAUUAAAACUAUGGUCCCAAAGUACACAAUGUAAUAUAGUGUAACAAGUAUGGACAACAUGUACAAAUACUAAAAUGCUGCCAGUAACGAAACUUCACAACAUAGAGGUUGAUAACAGACUGAGGGCAAAGGGAGGGCAGUGGGAGGUGUUUAUCCAUGGUUACUGUAGUUUUCAUUACAGUUAGGGUCCAGGAACCAGAUGUUGUUUUGUGAGAAGUUGUUGCUGUUGUUAUGGGAUGGGGGCUGCCUUGCUCUGCUGCUCGUGGAGGCUCUGCUAGGGUUGCUGCUGUGACUCUGAAGGGAAAUGCUACUGGUGGCGUUCACCUGUUGAGCCCCUCUGCUGCUGGGGACGGGCAGAUGCGAUCUGGGUCUCGUCACUCGCUGAGGAGAAGCAUGACUACCGUCGAUCUUUACACAGACACAGCAAUAUACAAAAAACAAAAGUAUUUUUAACAAAAAAAAAAAGAGAGAAUGCACAUUAUACAUGUGCUUUGUUACAAAAAAAAUGCAAGCGAUCUUCAGAGGCCACAAUUAAAGUGCCCCUAUUAUGGAUUUUUGAAAAUUCACUGUGUAACACAGCUUUAUGUGAAUGAAAACAUCCUGCAAAGUUUUAAAUCUGAAAGUGCACUGUGUAUAAAGUUAUUGGCUCUCAAAAGAAAGGGUCGACUCUGAAUCAUUGAAACGAGUCGUUUUUAAAAUGAAUCCCAAGCCGUUUCAUGUUGACAUCAACAUGAAACAUUAGCAUAUUGCCCGCCCACUUGUUGGUCUAUUCGCCUUGGUCUGAAUGAAAAUGCAAAUUCAUUCUUUGCCACUAGGUGUCGCUUUUGAAGUGGUAAAAUAGAUGUUUCCCCGGUAACGCUGUACACAAAGCAGCACUGCGCUCACAAAUGAAUCGUUGAGUGAAUCGUUUGGGAGUCAUUGAGCAAGUAAGGUAAAAAAUAAAUGCAUAUUUAUAAGUCAAUGAAACUGUUUUUUGACCUUGCAUGCAUGUCAGCCUGUUGUUGUGGACUCCCAAAACCAAAAUAUGAACCUUUCAUAACCCAUAAUAGGGGCACUUUAAGGUAAAUCCAAAAUGGUGGAUGAGGUGAGAAAAAUGAUUAUGAAUAACCACAUUUCAUUCAAUAUUGUGGAUAUAAAAUGUGUAAUAAAAGAAAAGAAAAAGAUUUUACCUAAUAUUUGAGUGCAUUACAUAUUUUUGUUAAUUAUAACAUCAUGCUGUUUACUUUCGGAACCUGACUGUGGUGCUCUAUUUGUGCACUUUACGUAGAGCAUUUCAUGCAUUCCAUGACAGUUAGGAUGUUGCCUUAGAGGGCAGCUACCUAUGUAGUUGGCUCAGUAGGCUUUGGAACAGAGCCACGGUGUUUUAUCAAAGGCUUGCCUUCUGUGGUGGAGGAUAGGUCACAUCCACAGCACUCUCUGUUGUAACAGGAUUUGUUUGGGGCUGCGUGACCUUGCCAUCACUCCUCUGAGGACUGGGUGGAAUCGAGUCUGGAAGCAUGAUGAAGUCCUCUUUAAAAAGAGCAAUCUGCGGAGCCAAUGGUGGAAAGAGGGAAACAUCCUCCCUGGAACUCGGGUAAGAACCUGAAGAUAUAGGGUCCCAACAAGGCCUCUGAGGUCCCCAGACGCGACAGGCAGGCGUUGAGCUGGUGCCACACUGAGCACACCCAUGAAAGCGAUUUGUGUACAGGAUCAUCAGAUGUCCAGCACUGGCCCCGAGCCUGUGAAGCCAUAGAAAAACUUGAUUAAAGGGACAGUUCACUAAAAACUGAUUCAUUUACUCUCAUUCCAAACCCAUUUUUUCUUUCAUUUGUCACACUAGGAGCAAUUUUGAACAAUGUACUGUUCAAAAAGAUGCAAAGCACCAAAA
Molecule: long non-coding RNA, 2622 nt
Organism: Cyprinus carpio carpio
Lineage: Eukaryota; Metazoa; Chordata; Actinopteri; Cypriniformes; Cyprinidae
Source: Ensembl